UACUGCGAUGAGCAGUGCGUGGAUUUUUGAACUUGCGCCCCGUGUGCUUAUUCCUGUAAACUUCAGCUAUAUCAGAUCUUCCGUGUGUUGGUUCGGUAGAUCUCGUUUCCUAUUUGUUAAAAGGAAGAAUGAAGCACUUGGAACUAUUUCCAACUUGCUAAAUGGAGGGACAAGUUUCACGAAAACGAUUUGUAAGUUAGUGAGUUCUACGCUGAUUGUUAACGUGUGCCUUUCUUCUUUCAAGUUAUGCCUUCGUCUGCUUGCUAAGCCUGUAUAUGUGAACGAACUGCCAUCUAUAACUUAUACUUGCAACGAAAACGUUUGGAUCAUGAAGAAAUAAAGAGAAACAAGAAGGUGAUUACAGUUUUUCCGUGGCGAUCGGUUAUGUAACUUUAAAAUGAAAUAGUUUCGAUCCAUCGGAUGGAAACUUUGGAUAGAACACCUCUACGACGGAUCGCCGAAAGUUGGUGGGCAUGAUUUUGAAUAAUAAAAGCAAUCUGUGCAACACGGAACUCGCGCUUUUUCAAAGUGUUGACAGCGAUGUUCAUUCGAACUUACAAGGUCUAUAUUGCAAACAGCGUUCGCGUUGGCGGAUGAGAAAAAAUGUCGUUAUCGAUUUUUGCCCAGUGAUGUUGGUUUAAAAUUGAGAAAAACCCCUUUACUCACAUUCGAUGUACAUCAAAUCUGGCCUUCUUCCGUAUUUGCAUUUGCUUGUCCAUUCAAAAAUAUUCCCCGUGUUACACGGUCGACUCGUUCUCAAAAGCGACAGGCCCUACUAUGUCUACUGUGUAGAGUCGCGGUCCAAUUUUCUCUUUGCUUCUUGACGUGCACACAUGACAAAGACAGGGACUUACCCAUUGGCAAUACCGGAGGGCAAAAUUCUGCCAUGGGUCCAAUCGGAAUAAGCAUUAAAUAAUAGCAAUAUGGAAAGAGAGUGCUUCCAAGAAACGUGCUAUCCUUUCAAACAGAUGUGUAAAAGGAGGUUCUCAUCUCGCUUCAAUGGUUUUCCCCGAAAGACGCAUUCACACGAUGAACUUGCCUGGGAAAAUAUUUCAUUCUAUAUCAGAGCAUGACGCUAAUCAAGAUUGAUUCUCUUUAACACCAACUGGAAUACGUUACGCGCUCGUAUAUCCAUCUAGAAAAUAUUUAGAUAAACUUAUAGCUCUACUUCACCAUUUCUCCAGUCUUCAACACAGGAGAUGGAAUAUACAAGUAUGUGCUAAUAUACUUGUGGACCUUGAAUUGUAUCCAAAUGCUAUAUUGGCUUCAGUCCUUACAAUAUAAGGCACUUGCAUUGCAAAAAAAAACAUGGACUCCAUUCAAAAAAUAUAACAUGUCACUAAAAAGCACAGAACACAAGAGAA
This is a long non-coding RNA of Daphnia magna, 1364 nucleotides long. RefSeq lists it as uncharacterized. The transcript is spliced from 4 exons. NCBI's taxonomy places the organism in Eukaryota, Metazoa, Arthropoda, Branchiopoda, Diplostraca, Daphniidae. The record is from RefSeq and is a predicted model, not a curated record.